RNAcentral lists this ribosomal RNA (253 nucleotides) under uncultured bacterium. RNAcentral describes it as "partial 16S ribosomal RNA". It matches the Rfam family "Bacterial small subunit ribosomal RNA", at positions 524 to 776 of the family's 1533-position model. The record is from RNAcentral.
UACGUAGGGACCAAGCGUUGUUCGGAUUUACUGGGCGUAAAGGGCGCGUAGGCGGCGCGGUAAGUCACUUGUGAAAUCUCUGAGCUUAACUCAGAACGGCCAAGUGAUACUGCAGUGCUAGAGUGUGGAAGGGGCAAUCGGAAUUCUUGGUGUAGCGGUGAAAUGCGUAGAUAUCAGGAGGAACACCUGUGGUGUAGACGGCUUACUGGACCGCAACUGACGCUGAGACACGAAAGCGUGGGUAGCAAACAGG